GAUGAACGCUGGCGGCGUGCCUAAUACAUGCAAGUCGAGCGAACAGACGAGGAGCUUGCUCCUCUGACGUUAGCGGCGGACGGGUGAGUAACACGUGGAUAACCUACCUAUAAGACUGGGAUAACUUCGGGAAACCGGAGCUAAUACCGGAUAACAUGUUGAACCGCAUGGUUCAACAGUGAAAGACGGUCUUGCUGUCACUUAUAGAUGGAUCCGCGCCGCAUUAGCUAGUUGGUAAGGUAACGGCUUACCAAGGCAACGAUGCGUAGCCGACCUGAGAGGGUGAUCGGCCACACUGGAACUGAGACACGGUCCAGACUCCUACGGGAGGCAGCAGUAGGGAAUCUUCCGCAAUGGGCGAAAUCCUGACGGAGCAACGCCGCGUGAGUGAAGAAGGUCUUCGGAUCGUAAAACUCUGUUAUUAGGGAAGAACAAAUGUGUAAGUAACUAUGCACGUCUUGACGGUACCUAAUCAGAAAGCCACGGCUAACUACGUGC
Molecule: ribosomal RNA, 498 nt
Filed under: uncultured bacterium
Lineage: Bacteria
Description: partial 16S ribosomal RNA
Rfam family: Bacterial small subunit ribosomal RNA
Source: RNAcentral